UGGGGCAUGGCCAAGCGGUAAGGCAACGGGCUUUGGUCUCGUUAUUCGGAGGUUUGAAUCCUUCCGUCCCAG
This is a non-coding RNA of Amborella trichopoda, 72 nucleotides long. The record is from Rfam. Lineage: Eukaryota; Viridiplantae; Streptophyta; Magnoliopsida; Amborellales; Amborellaceae.